AUCAACUUUCGAUGGUAGGAUAGAGGCCUACCAUGGUAGUAACGGGUAACGGGGUGUUAGGGCACGACACCGGAGAGGGAGCCUGAGAAACGGCUACCACAUCCAAGGAUGGCAGCAGGCGCGCAAAUUACCCAAUCCCGACACGGGGAGGUAGUGACAAUAAAUAACAAUACGGGGUUCUUUCGGAUCUCGUAAUUGGAAUGAGUACAAUUUAAAUCUCUUAACGAGGAACAAUUGGAGGGCAAGUCUGGUGCCAGCAGCCGCGGUAAUUCCAGCUCCAAUAGCGUAUAUUAAAGUUGUUGCAGUUAAAAAGCUCGUAGUUGAAUUUCGGAAUCAAUAUGUUGGUCGUGCCUUGGUACGUACUGGCGUCAUUGGUUUCUACCUUCUGAAGGACCUCGAUGUCAUUAAUUUGGUGUCUUGGGGAAUCAGGACUGUUACUUUGAAAAAAUUAGAGUGUUUAAAGCAGGCUCACGCUUGAAUACAUUAGCAUGGAAUAAUGAAAUAGGACGUUUGAUUCUAUUUUGUUGGUUUCUAGGAUCGACGUAAUGAUUAAUAGGGAUAGUUGGGGGCAUUAGUAUUCAAUUGUCAGAGGUGAAAUUCUUGGAUUUAUUGAAGACUAACUACUGCGAAAGCAUUUGCCAAGGAUGUUUUCAUUAAUCAAGAACGAAAGUUAGGGGAUCGAAGACGAUCAGAUACCGUCGUAGUCUUAACCAUAAACUAUGCCGACUAGGGAUCGGAUGAUGUUAAUUUUUUAAUGACUCAUUCGGCGCCUUACGGGAAACCAAAGUGUUUGGGUUC
RNAcentral lists this ribosomal RNA (798 nucleotides) under uncultured Glomus. RNAcentral's name for it is "SSU rRNA". It matches the Rfam family "Eukaryotic small subunit ribosomal RNA", at positions 314 to 1114 of the family's 1831-position model. The record is from RNAcentral. Lineage: Eukaryota; Fungi; Glomeromycota; Glomeromycetes; Glomerales; Glomeraceae.